RNAcentral lists this small RNA (16 nucleotides) under Arabidopsis thaliana (thale cress). Its description in RNAcentral is "ATSL069510". Lineage: Eukaryota; Viridiplantae; Streptophyta; Magnoliopsida; Brassicales; Brassicaceae. The record is from RNAcentral.
AAAAAACAAUAAAAAA